This 445-nucleotide ribosomal RNA is filed under the name uncultured bacterium. RNAcentral describes it as "bacterial SSU rRNA". It matches the Rfam family "Bacterial small subunit ribosomal RNA", at positions 330 to 792 of the family's 1533-position model. The record is from RNAcentral.
ACCAGACUCCUACGGGAGGCAGCAGUGGGGGAUAUUGCACAAUGGGGGAAACCCUGAUGCAGCGACGCCGCGUGGGUGAAGAAGCGCCUCGGCGCGUAAAGCCCUGUCAGCAGGGAAGAAAAUGACGGUACCUGAAGAAGAAGCCCCGGCUAACUACGUGCCAGCAGCCGCGGUAAUACGUAGGGGGCAAGCGUUAUCCGGAUUUACUGGAUGUAAAGGGGGCGCAGACGGCGAUGCAAGCCAGGAGUGAAAGCCCGGGGCCCAACCCCGGGACUGCUCUUGGAACUGCGUGGCUGGAGUGCAGGAGGGGCAGGCGGAAUUCCUGGUGUAGCGGUGAAAUGCGUAGAUAUCAGGAGGAACACCGGUGGCGAAGGCGGCCUGCUGGACUGCAACUGACGUUGAGGCCCGAAAGCGUGGGGAGCAAACAGGAUUAGAUACCCGAGUA